This 264-nucleotide ribosomal RNA is filed under the name uncultured bacterium. RNAcentral describes it as "partial 16S ribosomal RNA". It matches the Rfam family "Bacterial small subunit ribosomal RNA", at positions 190 to 455 of the family's 1533-position model. The record is from RNAcentral.
CGCCCUCCGGGGGAAAGAUUUAUCGGUAUUGGAUGANCCGGCGUUUGAUUUCCUCUNUGGNGAGGUAAUGGCUCNCCACNGGGACGAUCAUUACCUGGCCUGANAGGAUGAUCANCCCCNCUGGGACUGACUCCCAGNCCACUUUCCCCCGGGAGGCANAUAAGGGGAAUAUUGGACAAUGGGCGAAAGCCUGAUCCAACCAUGCCGCGUUGUGUGAUGAAGGCCCUAGGGUUGUAAACUCCUUUCAACGUGGAAUAUAAUGAC